Peromyscus leucopus (white-footed mouse) is the source of this 6016-nucleotide long non-coding RNA. RefSeq lists it as uncharacterized. The record is from RefSeq and is a predicted model, not a curated record. The transcript is spliced from 2 exons. Lineage: Eukaryota; Metazoa; Chordata; Mammalia; Rodentia; Cricetidae.
AAAAAAAAAAAAAAAAAAAAAACCACAUUGACUUUUCUAGGUCCAGGAGCAGGAGUGAGGCCAGCUGCUACACCUCUCAGGUUAAUACUUUCCUGCCCCAGGUGCUGUUGUCACCAACUGGUCCACCCACUGCCACAUGAAGAGGCACCUUGAAGACCGCUCUUCUCUGCCCCCGAAAAGACCACACCCCCUAGCUGCAUUCUCCUACCCACUUACUGCCUUUCAACCCCUGAAAAAUCUCCCUGGAAAUGUUGUCACCUCCAAGUAAAGACACGGUGUGGAGCUGAGACAUUCUGUCCCCUGGGGCAAGGUGGACGAGCCACAGUUCACCACAAGGGUCCUUGGGACUGUUGUCUUUGCUGCUUCUGUUUCCUGAGUUCUCUCCACUCCAGGUCCCCGACAUGUUGUUGCCCAUGUGCUUUCUUCCCGCCGACUGGAGUCUGGCCCCGGGACUGCCUAGAACUUCUGAGGUCCUGUUGAGUGUCUCCUAGGUAGAUCAGCGUGCUCUUCUAAACACACCUCUGCGCAGUAUGCCAGAGCCACGUCCUUGGUCUCCAAAAAGCUGACUCCUCCUACACUACCCAGCUCAAUCUGAGCACUCCCUCCUUACGCACAUCCACCCUCAGCAAGCCUCAUCUCUGCCCUCUCCUGAGAACUGUCCUUCAGAUCCCUCCCUUUCCCCGGAACCCCCUGCAUGGCUUCCUGGCCAGCUGUACCCUUCUGUUUCUCCAGCCUUAUUUGUAAAACAUGUCUCCUUUCUCCCUAGCCAUUCAGGGAACUGUCUCAGCCCGGGACAGGCUGGUUGAGGCUCCCUCCCCAGCCUGCUCUACCACUCUUGUCUGCCCACUCUCUCUCAGGACCUAGCUUCUGAGCCUAGCUUGCUGCCAGGACACUCCAGGUUCGGAGUGUGUGUAGAGUGCCCCUCUGCCCAGAGGUGUCCUUCCCCCCUCCUCCUCCUCAGCCCAGGUCCUCCACCCCUCUCCUAAACCCUAGGUCACACGUGCUGGUCUGUGUGCUGCCGGCGGUGUCUUCACACUGGCAUGGUGUCCCAGCAGAGCAGAGCUGAUGGCUUCUGCCCUGGGCCCCUGAGAACCAGAUGGGGGGCUUCAGGUUCUGCCUCAGGGCCUUCAGGUCCCAAGCUGCUUCUGUUAGGUGUGAUCACUAUGACUGGAAGGGAGGGCCUCCCGUGUACCAGGACUUUUAGAGAAAAUUUGUCCCAUGCUACAGCUGCUUGAUCCUGGUAUAGCAAUCUCUGUGACAAACUCCCCCCGUGGGUAUGUCCAGCCUUUUGACAUUGCAAAGCAAUGCUGUCAUCUACAAAGUUCACAUUAGAGAACGCAAUGGAGUUGCAACAAACAAUUUCGUAGGUUUUAAGUAUACUUACAGUGUGGUGGGCAGCAUCCGUACCUAUUCUGGGGUGUGGGUGGCCCACACACCACAGGUUAGACACGCCUCAACUGUGGUAUUUGUAGCAUUUCCAAGUGGCACUUAACAAUCUACAUUCCCUUCUGGUUGAACUUUAACUAGACUUAAAAAUGAGAAAAAUCAGAUGAAUCAUACAAGUGACUAAGCUUUGGGUAGAUCUAAAAAGUCUUUAAGUGAGAUGGGGUUUUAAAUUUUUUUAUUGUUCGACUGGCAGAAACCUGAAAUUAACUGUAAAAAAAAAAAUCCACAAAUCAAAUUUGAACUCUGAAAUGAACAGACAAAUCUGGGCGGCUGGAGUUUGCUUUGCUGUUGACUCUGAGGUCAGUCUGAUUUUUAAUAAUUAUACAUCAAAAGAAGAUACUGUGGAAAGGGGGGCAUACCAAGAGGAGGGAAAUUAAAUUAAUAAAAAAAAUAGAGAACAAAACAGGAAGCUCCUUCACUAGGCUUUACUGCCCAGAACCCCAAAUCCAAGUCUGUCCUGCUUCCGUGGGUCACAAUGAAAAAGCAAGCUGCUGGCGUUGCCGAGGAACCCCAGCUCCUCACACUGCCCCACGUUCUGAGGUUAGUUCCUAGUUCAUUCCUGUCGUGCCUGAAUGAGAUCGUGGCUAUUCAGAACGAUGGCACGACCUCUUACCCUGGCACUGCACGUCACCCGUCGGCAUCCUGUGUAAAUCAGAGGAAUGUUUGCUGCUGAGGCCGAGAGCAUCUUUUUUAUUUAGCUGAAAUUAAAAUGGAAUAUACCAAAGACAUAGAAUCUAUUAGAACUUUUACAUUGUUUUUAUUAUUAAGAUAAAACAACAGUUAUAGAAACAGAGUUUUACCCUUUUAACCAUUUUGGAAUAUAUAAUACAAUGGCUUUUGAGCCAUUCAUGGUAUUGUAUACAACUGUCAGGUCAGCAAGGUCCAAUUCUCCCGAUCGCAAAAGAAAACCUGUACCCAGCAAGUCAGCAUUCCUCAUUCGCUCCUUCCUGAUUCCUAGUAAAAUCUCUAGAGUUGUAUGUUCUGGACAUUUCACGGAAUCAUACGCUCUGAGAUUCUGUCUAGUUCUAUUCACUUAGUGUGUUGUUUUCAAGGUUCACCCACAUUGUAGUGUACAUCCAUACUCUGUUCUCUUUUCAUGGCUGAAUAAUAUUUCAUUUAUGGGCGUACCACAGUGUGUUUUUGUAUUUACCAAUAUGGCAUUUGAAUUAUGCUGCUGUUUUUUAAGUUUAAUCUUUUAAUGUCAUUCGUGUGUUUCAUGUUCACAGACAACACUGGAUAGCACUGAACGUCACGGCAACAAGCCCUACCUAUGCUUUCCCCGUAGCAGCCAGCGUCUUUAACUCUUUGGCCUGUGUCUACCCCACUCCACUUACCUUCACAGUUCAAUUACAGACCAAGUGAAGUCAAGGACUAGUGAACAACCCUAUUUCAAAAAACCAGGUGGACAACUGUCCUGAAGGACACCCAAGGUGAACCUAAGGUGCACAUGCACACACACACACACACACACACACACACACACACACACACACACGCACACAGAAAAGGGACUGGUAUCAGUAGUAUGUAGAGAUUUUUGUAGCCCACCCAUACGGAUUCACAUCCUUUCAAAAUCCUUAUUUAAAUUCUGAAAUGAGUUGAGAAUCAUUUUCGAGUCUUAAGUUUCCAUUCUCUCCUAAUCCUGACUGUGAGGCUGUAACUUCCCUUCCAGCGUGUCCGGACAAGUGUGCGGUCACCAUGUUGCGCUUUGUUUUCUCGGAGGCCAACUUCCUCCCACCCUGAUCUGGAUGAGUGCCUUUCUCUGCUGUCUGGUUCCCUUGCUUCCUCUCCUGGGCUAAUAUGUCCCAGAUCCUGGGUUCUUUAACCCUCUUGACCCCAGUUCCCAUGUGUGUGUGUGUGUGUGUGAUUCAAAAAUGUACACACAUCCUUCCGCAGUCAUCUGGGAAAGGCUGACUGCUGGGGCUUUGUUUUUCUUUAGGUUUACACUCUGUUGAUAUGAAUUCCUGGUUUGGAAAAAGAAAAUCACCGCAGACUUUCAUUCUCUAGUGCUUUGCAGAGCUGAUCUGGACUAGACCGUUCUCUCUCUCUCUGGAAGUAGGAGACUCAGUCUCUCUCUCUCUCUCUCUCUCUCUCUCUCUCUCUCUCUCUUUCUGCGCCGGGCAUCAUUCAGUGUCAUGAACAGUGAUUGAUGUCUCUCCACUCCAUUAAAAAACUUCUGCCAUUUUAAUCCCCUGGCCUUACCGCCGCCGCCCCCCACUUCCGCCCUGGCACCACCUUUUCCAUGCCUCUCUGAUCCACUCCUUUGACUUAACCUUUUCCUCAUCUCCUUUCUGUCCCUGUGUUCUGUUUUCUGGAAAAAAGCCCCAUGUCUUCUAAAACUUCACAGUGAGUGUUUAUUUCUAAUGUACUUCAGUAUCUGAAAGAUGGGUUUUUAAUGUUUUUUCCCAUGUGAAGUUUCAGAGCUAUUUUGGGGGGUGUUGAUUUCAUUCUCAUAACUUUCUGCCCGCUACUGAGUCUAAUUCUUCCAGGUGCCUUGGGGUUUGGGGCUUUUGUGUUGUGGGUUUGCUUGGGUCUUGGACUCUUCAUAUUAGGGGUAGGUGUAGAAUGUCAAAGGUCUCUGUCCACUGACAGGACUUUUCAGCUGGCCUACCUAAUUGCAGCAUGUAUGCUAGAUAGAACAAUGGUCCUCUCAUAGGAACAAAAAGAGGCCCCUGUCCUUGGGGCUGGAGAGAUGACUCGGCAAUUGAGAGCAUGUACUGCUCUUACAGAGGCCCCGAAUUUGGUUCCUAGUACCAAUACCCAUGUGUGGUAGCUCGCGACCACAUGUAACCCCAGUUCCAGGGGAUCCAACACCCUCUUCUGGCCUCCACAGGUACUCACAUGGACAUGCUUGUGCACAAACACACAUACAUAAGCACACAAGUUUGUGGGGUUUUUUAAUCUUAAGAGAAAAAAAAAGUCCUUGUCCUAACUGAAAAUGUGGCCUUACUUGGGCUUAGAUGCGGUGAAUGGGUCAGGCACCCUGAGAUGGGACAGUAUCCUGGCUGGCCUGGUCAUACCAGGCCUUAAAAGCAGAGAGAUGUGAGGAUGGAGGCAAGUGGAGAGACCCAACACGGUUGGAGUAAGAUGGGCCCAGGCAAGGAAUGUGUCCUGUUCUGAGAUGAGGAGGGUCAGACAGCAGAGUUCUCCCUGCAGCCUCCGGAAAGGCGCGGAGCUGCUGACGCCCGACUUUACCCAGUGAGACCUGCUGUUGACUUGGGAGGAGAUGGCGCAGUUAUAUUCUUCAAAGACACUGGGUUUGUAGUGACUUGUCACUGAAAGGGUGUACAGCGCUGGUUUGUCGGCAGUGGAAGAGUCCCGAGCCAUGGUUACCAGAGUUGGAAUGGGCUUCAUUAGAAGAGGGGAUAGGACAGAGAGAGAAAGACCAAGAGAGCAUGUGGGGGUGCUCGUCUGGCUUUUAGGCUUGGACGUAGUCACCUGCUGAUGACGUAAUAAGGACUAGAUGAGACCCCUGGGCUGCGCAUGUACAGAAUCCUUACAGUCACAGCCGCUGUAAGAAAGUCAUAUUGUGUCUCAGUCUGCUGGAUCCAGUAGGGUGCCUCCAGUGCCAUUGCCUGCUUCUGAGUUCUUCAGUCUCCAACCAAGGGUUGCUUCGGUUAGCAUAGGUCAGCCCAACUCUUCAGCUAGUACAAGAAUAAAGCCUAGUGCCAUGUCAGAGAGGUCCUGGAAGCUUCAGCCAGAGCCUUGGAGAAAUUCUCACCCUUCUUGGGCCUGCAUCAUGGGAGCCAGAGGCUCCAGGAGUUCCAGGAAGUGGCAGAGUCUGUCCACCAGUGGCUGGCCGCUCAAUGGAGGCAGGUAGAUGGGACAAUGGACUGCCACGUCUGGCCUUUGGAAUAAUAACUUUGAUGUAGUCAUUGUGCAUCUGAUUCAAGAUUCUCCCACGGCCAAAUGGUAGCCUGGAAUCAUAUGGAGAAGGGGAUCCUGGGAAAUGUAGUUUCAGCCUUACAGGACAAGAUGGAGGUGGUGAAUGAGACCCAAUCCUACACAGGGAUGAGCCUGAAUGUCAGAUUCUAGAAGCCGAAUUGAAGAGGGGGCAGCAAGUCCUACUGUUCAGAAUGUGGAUUUCUAAUGAACCUCUUCUGUAGCCUGGCACUCAACACUCCCCUGGCUGUGCCCACUGUCUCCAAGAGCACAUCAUCUCUGCCUCAAGCUCUCUACAGAGUGAGAUGUAUUGGGGGUACUUGGGGAGAAACUAGAAUUUAACUGAGCCUCUGUGCCUCUGUUCCAGAGACUUCUUCCAGUCCACCUGACUUCAAGACACUGCACCUCGCUCAGUUCCUGAGCCUUCCUGCCCUUCUGCACAGGUCAGGAGACAACGGUAGAACUGAGGAGCAGAGAGGCUGAGAGGAAACAGCAACAAUCCAGAGAUCCAGAACCCAAGCAGCAGGCAAGCGAUGAGUCUCCAGACAAAUUUGAAAUGGCUUUGGAAGGGGUCCUGAUGCCACAUUGACUGGGCAUCAGCAACCACUGGCCUGAUUUCCCCCUCAUAGAUGGCAGAGUCAAGAGUAGCACCCCAUUAAGGCUGCAUAAUGAACGUAUGUAACAAGAA